Molecule: ribosomal RNA, 138 nt
Filed under: uncultured eukaryote
Lineage: Eukaryota
Description: partial 18S ribosomal RNA
Rfam family: Eukaryotic small subunit ribosomal RNA
Source: RNAcentral
UGGUGGAGUGAUCUGUCUGGUUAAUUCCGAUAACGAACGAGACCUUAUCUUAUUAAAUAGUCCCAGGAAUUUCGAUUCCUUAGGGACUUCUUAGAAGGACUAUGGACGUUUAGUCCAUGGAAGUUUUAGGCAAUAACA